AUCGCUUCUCGGCCUUUUGGCUAAGAUUAAGUGUAGUAUCUGUUCUUAUCAGUUUAAUAUAUUAAUAGGGGCUUGCUCCAUCCACUCCACGCAUCGACUCGGUAUUGCAGUACUUCCGGGAGCGGUGCAUCCCCA
RNAcentral lists this small nuclear RNA (135 nucleotides) under Sinocyclocheilus rhinocerous. RNAcentral's name for it is "U2 spliceosomal RNA (ENSSRHG00000022516.1)". It matches the Rfam family "U2 spliceosomal RNA". Rfam says of the family: U2 is a small nuclear RNA (snRNA) component of the spliceosome (involved in pre-mRNA splicing). Complementary binding between U2 snRNA (in an area lying towards the 5' end but 3' to hairpin I) and the branchpoint sequence (BPS) of the intron results the bulging out of an unpaired adenosine, on the BPS, which initiates a nucleophilic attack at the intronic 5' splice site, thus starting the first of two transesterification reactions that mediate splicing. The record is from Rfam by way of RNAcentral. Lineage: Eukaryota; Metazoa; Chordata; Actinopteri; Cypriniformes; Cyprinidae.